Molecule: ribosomal RNA, 48 nt
Filed under: Pyramidula sp. 4 OR-2015
Lineage: Eukaryota; Metazoa; Mollusca; Gastropoda; Stylommatophora; Pyramidulidae
Description: partial 5.8S ribosomal RNA
Source: RNAcentral
UGGCGGCCNCGGGUCAAUCCCGAGGCCACGCCCGUCUGAGGGUCGGCU